GACGGAGGGUGCAAGCGUUAUUCGGAAUCAUUGGGCGUAAAGAGCGUGUAGGCGGCCGGUUAAGUCAGGUGUGAAAGCCCGGGGCUCAACCUCGGAAGUGCACUUGAAACUGGUCGGCUUGAGUUCGGGAGAGGGAAGCGGAAUUCCUGGUGUAGAGGUGAAAUUCGUAGAUAUCAGGAGGAACACCGGUGGCGAAGGCGGCUUCCUGGACCGAAACUGACGCUGAGACGCGAAAGCGUGGGGAGCAAACAGG
This 253-nucleotide ribosomal RNA is filed under the name uncultured bacterium. RNAcentral describes it as "partial 16S ribosomal RNA". It matches the Rfam family "Bacterial small subunit ribosomal RNA", at positions 524 to 776 of the family's 1533-position model. The record is from RNAcentral.